GAUUAACGCUGGCGGCGUGCAUAACACAUGCAAGUCGAACGAUGAAACUUAAAUGAUUUCUUCUGAAUGAACUUAAGUGGAUUAGUGGCGGACGGGUGAGUAACGCGUGAGUAACCUGCCUUACACAAGGGGAUAGCCGUUGGAAACGACGAAUAAUACCCUAUGAAACUAUCACUUCGCAUGAAGCGAUAGUCAAAGUGUUAGCGGUGUAAGAUGGACUUGCGUCUGAUUAGCUAGUUGGUGAGAAAAAAGCCCACCAAGGCAACGAUCAGUAGCCGGCUUGAGAGAGUGUACGGCCACAUUGAGACUGAGACACGGCCCAGACUCCUACGGGAGGCAGCAGUGGGGAAUUUUGCACAAUGGGGGAAACCCUGAUGCAGCGACGCCGCGUGAUUUAGAAGGCCUUCGGGUUGUAAAAGUCUUUUGUAUAGGAAGAAAAUGACAGUACUAUACGAAUAAGGUCCGGCUAAUUACGUG
RNAcentral lists this ribosomal RNA (477 nucleotides) under uncultured bacterium. Its description in RNAcentral is "partial 16S ribosomal RNA". It matches the Rfam family "Bacterial small subunit ribosomal RNA", at positions 28 to 507 of the family's 1533-position model. The record is from RNAcentral.